GUAAUUUCCUUCCAGAAUUUUGACAUAUCUUUUUAAGACAUUAUGCAUCCCAAGGAAAAGUAGAUUUGCUCUUCUCAUGAAAUGAUGCAAUGGAUGCAUACAAACACCGUUUGUUUCCACGUAUACUGGUGGUGUUCUCAUUUGACGAUUACCUUGAAUCAUUUGCUCAUGCAAAAUAGCUUGAAAAGUUGCUUGUGAAGCCAUCUACCUAAUUUUUGUAGUUCAUUGAGUUUACUUAUAAUGUCUUGACUGUUGUCAUCUUUUUGUUACAGGCGGGUGUAACUUUACUUCUAAUCAAUUUGAGC
Molecule: unclassified non-coding RNA, 305 nt
Filed under: Hevea brasiliensis (rubber tree)
Lineage: Eukaryota; Viridiplantae; Streptophyta; Magnoliopsida; Malpighiales; Euphorbiaceae
Source: RNAcentral